This 69-nucleotide transfer RNA is filed under the name Tubuca paradussumieri. RNAcentral describes it as "tRNA-Trp". It matches the Rfam family "tRNA". From Rfam's summary of the family: Transfer RNA (tRNA) molecules are approximately 80 nucleotides in length. Their secondary structure includes four short double-helical elements and three loops (D, anti-codon, and T loops). Further hydrogen bonds mediate the characteristic L-shaped molecular structure. tRNAs have two regions of fundamental functional importance: the anti-codon, which is responsible for specific mRNA codon recognition, and the 3' end, to which the tRNAs corresponding amino acid is attached (by aminoacyl-tRNA synthetases). tRNAs cope with the degeneracy of the genetic code in two manners: having more than one tRNA (with a specific anti-codon) for a particular amino acid; and 'wobble' base-pairing, i.e. permitting non-standard base-pairing at the 3rd anti-codon position. Lineage: Eukaryota; Metazoa; Arthropoda; Malacostraca; Decapoda; Ocypodidae. The record is from RNAcentral. RNAcentral also lists the same sequence under 1 other name.
AGAAUUUUAAGUUAUUAAAACUAAAAGCCUUCAAAGUUUUCAAAAAAAGUUUAAAUCUUUUAAAUUCUA